This 71-nucleotide transfer RNA is filed under the name Bacteriophage sp. Its description in RNAcentral is "tRNA-Thr". It matches the Rfam family "tRNA". Rfam says of the family: Transfer RNA (tRNA) molecules are approximately 80 nucleotides in length. Their secondary structure includes four short double-helical elements and three loops (D, anti-codon, and T loops). Further hydrogen bonds mediate the characteristic L-shaped molecular structure. tRNAs have two regions of fundamental functional importance: the anti-codon, which is responsible for specific mRNA codon recognition, and the 3' end, to which the tRNAs corresponding amino acid is attached (by aminoacyl-tRNA synthetases). tRNAs cope with the degeneracy of the genetic code in two manners: having more than one tRNA (with a specific anti-codon) for a particular amino acid; and 'wobble' base-pairing, i.e. permitting non-standard base-pairing at the 3rd anti-codon position. The record is from RNAcentral. RNAcentral also lists the same sequence under 1 other name.
GCCGCCUUAAUUUAAUGGUAGAAUGGGAAAUUUGUAAUUUUCACAUACGGGUCCGAUUCCUGUAGGUGGCA